UACGAAGGGGGCUAGCGUUGUUCGGAAUUACGGGGCGUAAAGCGCACGUAGGCGGCUCUGUAAGUUGGGGGUGAAAUCCCGAGGCUCAACCUCGGAAUUGCCUUCAAGACUGCAGGGCUUGAGUUCGGGAGAGGUGAGUGGAAUUCCCAGUGUAGAGGUGAAAUUCGUAGAGAUUGGGAAGAACACCAGUGGCGAAGGCGGCUCACUGGCCCGUAACUGACGCUGAGACCCGAAAGCGUGGGGAGCAAACAGG
Molecule: ribosomal RNA, 253 nt
Filed under: uncultured bacterium
Lineage: Bacteria
Description: partial 16S ribosomal RNA
Rfam family: Bacterial small subunit ribosomal RNA
Source: RNAcentral